Orussus abietinus is the source of this 1318-nucleotide long non-coding RNA. RefSeq lists it as uncharacterized. Lineage: Eukaryota; Metazoa; Arthropoda; Insecta; Hymenoptera; Orussidae. The transcript is spliced from 2 exons. The record is from RefSeq and is a predicted model, not a curated record.
UUUAAGUAGACGUCUCGACGGAAGAAAACAAUUAAACGUCAGUUUGGAUAAAACGUGAGACAAUCGAGUGGCAUCGCACGUCCGGCGACGUGGACAAGGAAAGUGAAAAAUCAGUUUCUCCGAGUGUACGUCUCGAGCGAUCGUUUCGCAAAAUAUUUCAACUUCGACAAUUGCAUUAUCGCGCGUAGGAGCACCGAGACGUGACGCCGCGGAUCGAUGGAUUUUUCGACUUCUGCCCAUCCCGAAUCGGACUUCUCCAAGGACACCUGCGCACAUAUAAAAGUGCAAGGUCGACGGUUUCCCUACUUUCGAGAGCGAUGGACGCCUCUUAAUAUUCCGAGACAUUGGCUCCACUCUUACUUAAGGCACUCUGCUCGUAACGCGUUGCAUCAUCGGACCUCGAACUCGGAUAAGAAAUUCUUUUUCACCAAGGACCAAUUAUGAUUUAUCUGGAGCAGGAGAGCCUCACCUCGAUCAGUAUCAUUUACACAAACAUACCCUACAAUGUUUCCGUGAACGGUGGAGCACUAACAGAGAAGCUGGAUUUGGACGAUGACCAUAAUGAUAGGUUCGGUCCUUGGGAUUUCUCCAAUAUGGUGGCUGUUAGCAUAUGCUAGCCUAUUGUUGCUCCUAUCGCCACUGGUCUUAGUGACGAUAGUGUUCCUGCCAAACUUCCCGAUUUUGUUACUCAGGAGGAUGUGCUACAUACCUAUAGAGCCGAUUUAGGUGGAACCGAGGAAGCGAGAUCUCACAGCCCUAGUUUUAAUGUUAUCUGAUAAGAGUGUUACAUUUAUUAUGUAUUCCGAGAAAGUGCGUAGAAGUAGUCAAAAGAAGAGCAAUAAGUCGUAGACGAUCUGGAAACUUGAGUAAAUAAUUAUGUCUCGAAUUACUACUUCACUGAAGUUAUACGGAAACCGGUGCCACUCAAGGUGUGCGCGAAUUUUUUAAAUAAUUAUUAACUUACUCCCUGGAACUAUGAGAAGGGGAUUUUUUUUCUAUCUAAGCCCGAAAAGACUACGUCACUGAGUUUUACAUUGCGUUACAUUUAAUUUAAUGUCCGAAUAUUAAGGUUUACGUAUCACAACGAAUCCGCUCCCAUGUUCCUCUUUUUAUACCAUAUUUUUUACUUUUAUACUUUUCACUCAGCGUUAUUUUCACGUAGCCUCCCCGUAUCUUAGAUGUACUGGAAAUCGUAGCCUUCGUCAUAGAAACAUUUUUAAACUAAAUCAUGAGACUUCGCCUCGUGAUACAAUCGUCGUUAUUAAGGCGUCUUUUAUGAUAAGACAUAUCUGAAAAUAUAUUCUCAUGUAAAACCGAA